This 497-nucleotide ribosomal RNA is filed under the name uncultured bacterium. Its description in RNAcentral is "partial 16S ribosomal RNA". It matches the Rfam family "Bacterial small subunit ribosomal RNA", at positions 28 to 507 of the family's 1533-position model. The record is from RNAcentral.
GACGAACGCUGGCGGCGUGCCUAAUACAUGCAAGUUGAGCGCUGAAGGUUGGUACUUGUACCGACUGGAUGAGCAGCGAACGGGUGAGUAACGCGUGGGGAAUCUGCCUUUGAGCGGGGGACAACAUUUGGAAACGAAUGCUAAUACCGCAUAAAAACUUUAAACACAAGUUUUAAGUUUGAAAGAUGCAAUUGCAUCACUCAAAGAUGAUCCCGCGUUGUAUUAGCUAGUUGGUGAGGUAAAGGCUCACCAAGGCGAUGAUACAUAGCCGACCUGAGAGGGGGAACGGCCACAUUGGGACUGAGACACGGCCCAAACUCCUACGGGAGGCAGCAGUAGGGAAUCUUCGGCAAUGGACGAAAGUCUGACCGAGCAACGCCGCGGGAGUGAAGAAGGUUGUCGGAUCGUAAAACUCUGUUGGUAGAGAAGAACGUUGGUGAGAGUGGAAAGCUCAUCAAGUGACGGUAACUACCCAGAAAGGGACGGCUAACUACGUG